This 63-nucleotide transfer RNA is filed under the name Rhynchocyon petersi (black and rufous elephant shrew). RNAcentral describes it as "partial tRNA-Pro". The record is from RNAcentral. Lineage: Eukaryota; Metazoa; Chordata; Mammalia; Macroscelidea; Macroscelididae.
AAUAGUUUAAAUAGAAUGUCAGCUUUGGGUGUUGACGGUGAAGCGGUAAUGCUUCUUUCCUGA